GCCAAACAUCCAGCCCAACAGCCCUCACAAAACACCACAUACAAUAAAACAAACCAUUUGAUAAGAGUAGUAAAGGCGAUUAAACAUCAACACAAGGAGCAAUAGAAACAGUACCACAAGGGAAAUAUGAAAAAACAGUGAAACACCCAAAGCAAAAAAAAGCAAAGACUAAUCCUUGUACCUCUUGCAUCAUGGUCUAGCAAGAACAAUACAGACACGGCGACCCUAGCCUGUAACCCAGAAACCAAGUGAGCUACCAUAUAGCAGCACAAGAGCUAACCCGUCCCUGUAGCAAAAGGGUGGGAAGACUUUAUGGUAGCAGUGAAAAGCCUACCGAACUUGUUGAUAGCUGGUUGCCUGAUAAAUGAACCUAAGUUCAACCUUAAAUUUUAACCGCCCUUCAUAGCGCCCCCUUAAUUUAAGAGAUAUUCAAUGAGGGUACAGCCUCAUUGAACCAGGAUUCAACCUGAAAUAGAGAGCACAUUUUUAUUACUAUUACAGUAGGCCUUAAAGCAGCCACCAAAAAACACAGCGUCACAGCACACAACCAAAAAUACCAAACAUAAAAAUAUUCUCCUAUUGCCAAACCAGGCCACUCUAUAUAAAUAUAGAGAAACUAAUGCUAGAACUAGUAACAAGAACUAAUCUCUUCGCACAAUUGUAAAUCAGCAAUAGAACAACUACUGAAAGUUAACGGAGCUAUAUAAAUAUUUUCCAUCAAUAUAUUACACUAACCCGUUGCCCCAACACAGGUGUGCAAAAAAGAAAGAUUAAAAAUUAAAGAAGGAACUCGGCAAAACCCAGUCCCAACUGUUUACCAAAAACAUAGCCUUCAGCUAACAAAGUAUUGAAGGUAACGCCUGCCCAGUGAACAAUUCAACGGCCGCGGUAUUCUAACCGUGCAAAGGUAGCGUAAUCACUUGUCCCCUAAAUAGGGACCUGUAUGAAUGGCUAAAUGAGGACCAAACUGUCUCCUUUAAUUAAUCAGUGAAACUGAUCUACCAGUCCAAAAGCUGGUAUUUUAUCAUAAGACGAGAAGACCCUGUGGAGCUUUAAAUUAAAAGCCAAAACUAAAAUCUCACUAAACCCUAAAUAUGGCCCAAAAUUUUAAGUUGGGGCGACUUCGGAACAAAACAAAACUUCCGAGCAUAAAGGAAAUUAACCUCAUCAAGACUAACAAGUCAAAACAAAACUUGACCCAGUAUAACUGAUAACCGAACCAAGUUACCCCAGGGAUAACAGCGCAAUCUUCUUCAAGAGUUCAUAUCGACAAGAAGGUUUACGACCUCGAUGUUGGAUCAGGACACCCAAAUGGUGCAGCAGCUAUUAAAGGUUCGUUUGUUCAACGAUUAAUAGUCCUACGUGAUCUGAGUUCAGACCGGAGCAAUCCAGGUCGGUUUCUAUCUAUGUAGUUGCUUUCUACAGUACGAAAGGACCCAGAAAGCAGGACCUAUGCUAACAGCACGUCCUAAAAAUUUACAAGGCUGAUUUAACUAAAGCCUAACAACAAACCCCAUUAAACCCGAAGAUAGCGGGCU
Molecule: ribosomal RNA, 1538 nt
Filed under: Phrynosoma blainvillii
Lineage: Eukaryota; Metazoa; Chordata; Lepidosauria; Squamata; Phrynosomatidae
Description: 16S ribosomal RNA
Rfam family: Bacterial large subunit ribosomal RNA
Source: RNAcentral